UAAAGGUGGAUGUACUCCUGCCCAUCAAGGUAGAGAAAGGCCCCACGCUGCACAUCCACCUCCGUGCCACUGUGAUUCAGCUGCUGCUCAGCCUCUCCAGGAACAGACUCCAGUUCCCCCAUGUCCAGGUUGGGCAGUGCUGGAGUGAAACAGUCCGGCUUUACAACCGGUUCAGCGCCCCUCGUGAAUGGUUCCUCACUGUCAACAAACCUUCCAAGAAGGUGGACAAACGUUUGACACCGGCUGUGC
Chiroxiphia lanceolata (lance-tailed manakin) is the source of this 249-nucleotide long non-coding RNA. RefSeq lists it as uncharacterized. The record is from RefSeq and is a predicted model, not a curated record. The transcript has 3 exons. NCBI's taxonomy places the organism in Eukaryota, Metazoa, Chordata, Aves, Passeriformes, Pipridae.